Molecule: ribosomal RNA, 465 nt
Filed under: Vreelandella stevensii
Lineage: Bacteria; Pseudomonadati; Pseudomonadota; Gammaproteobacteria; Oceanospirillales; Halomonadaceae
Description: partial 16S ribosomal RNA
Rfam family: Bacterial small subunit ribosomal RNA
Source: RNAcentral
CCUACGGGGGGCAGCAGUGGGGAAUAUUGGACAAUGGGCGAAAGCCUGAUCCAGCCAUGCCGCGUGUGUGAAGAAGGCCUUCGGGUUGUAAAGCACUUUCAGUGGGGAAGAAAGCCUUGGGGCUAAUACCCUCGAGGAAGGACAUCACCCACAGAAGAAGCACCGGCUAACUCCGUGCCAGCAGCCGCGGUAAUACGGAGGGUGCGAGCGUUAAUCGGAAUUACUGGGCGUAAAGCGCGCGUAGGCGGUCUGAUAAGCCGGUUGUGAAAGCCCCGGGCUCAACCUGGGAACGGCAUCCGGAACUGGCAGGCUAGAGUGAAGGAGAGGAAGGUAGAAUUCCCGGUGUAGCGGUGAAAUGCGUAGAGAUCGGGAGGAAUACCAGUGGCGAAGGCGGCCUUCUGGACUGACACUGACGCUGAGGUGCGAAAGCGUGGGUAGCAAACAGGAUUAGAUACCCGAGUAGUC